Long non-coding RNA from Drosophila miranda, 8806 nucleotides. RefSeq lists it as uncharacterized. The transcript has 7 exons. Lineage: Eukaryota; Metazoa; Arthropoda; Insecta; Diptera; Drosophilidae. The record is from RefSeq and is a predicted model, not a curated record.
ACAUGCUCGUUAACAAACGAGCUGGCAGCCCUGGAGCCUUUAAUGAUAUUCGAUUAUUGUCAGCUGAUCAGAUUGUGUUUAUCGAUAUUCCAGCUUUUGUUUGCCUUUGUUUAUGUUAUUGGCGUCAUAUGCGGAUAAGUUGUAAGAGAAUAGUAUCAGUGAAAGUGAAUUACUCUUCGGAAAUAAGCCACGUUGCUGACUAUGUUAUUCGUGUGUCCACGGGUGCCAAAGCACGGGCGUGCGAAAGCGAUCGAGAUACUUCCAACGCGUCACUGCCCCGAGAUGACGGCCCGCGUGGCGGAGUGAAUUUCUGGAGUUGGCGUUCCGCGAGGAAUACUUGAAAUACAUAGGAUGAAGAAUUCUGUAAUCAAUCAUUGGCUUCAAGUAAUGCUGAACUUAAGAUAUCAGGUACACACUACCCAUUCAUAUGAAAAGCUUCAGCCCGUCAAAUGAGUCACUGCCAGCAUUCUCAACACAGCGUUUCCCUUUGAAUAAUCUUGGCUAAAGCCCAUUUCGUUCAGUGCAGCCUAGGCGGACACACCGCAAAACUUUUCCGUGUGGUUUUGUGUAUUCCAUUCUAAUAAGUCGCCAGCUAUCUAACAAUUCAAAUCUAAGAAAAUUUCAAAAUUCAAUUUGCACUGUGGUGCGGUGUUGCUGUGUCGCUGUGUUGAUGGGGGAGUGAACAACAAAAGACCACCUCAUCUAGAAACUCCCUCGGUUUUGUCCCUUCUCAUCAUCAGCAGCCAUUUCCGCAACCACACCACCCGAUGCGAUGCGACGGCAAAGUGAACAAACAUUUCUGAAAACUUACUUGAAUAGAUUAUUAGGAAUUAUCAAAACUUAAUUUAGCUUAAGAGUGCUCAAUGUAAAGGGGGCAGGGCAAGCGGGCGGGACGUGGCAUGCGGGCUGCUAAUGAAUACCGCCCGAGUUCAGGAACAGGUGACAAACAAUCAGUGACUGCAGCACUUGAAAGGCGGCUUUUGAAGUGGUUGCCAUUGAGAAAACUUUUGACUUGAAAGAGGGGACUCCGACCUGGUCGGGGACGCUGUGGCCAUUGAUCUUGUCAUGUCUUUGUUGUGGACUCUGGUAAGUCCCCGACUAAGCGGCUUAGGGCACUCUGCGCUCGUGGAACUUAAAAGUUUAGCACAUGCGACUUAAGCGCUAAAAGAAAUAACAUCAACUGCUUGGCUGUCAUCACAGCGGGACUGCGUUUAUUAACUAGACUCGGAGAUGGACGCUGACAUGGACAUGAACACGGACAGGGAUCGAUCUAAUGAGGCUGCCAGCUGGCGGCAGUGUCUGGGAUUGGCCGGGUCUGCCAUAUCCAGCUGUGUAAUCGGCUUCAAUUAAAUCAAGCCAAACGACACCGGCAAUUUGAACGUUCGCUUUUGUGCUCCCCACGGGCACGGACAAGGAGCUUGCAGCUAAAUAGAAUCCAGCCAAUGUCGGAGUUGGAGUUGGAGUCAUGGCGACCUUUUAGCAGCGCUUCCUGCCGCUUCCCCCGUCCUGGCCAUUCACUCAAUCUGGCGUUAAUAACGUGGCACAAAAUUUACAAGGGAAGUGCAGAUGGAAAGAAUACUUGAGUUACCUUUACCUUGCCCUUGCCCUUAUUCCGAGCCGAUAAUCGCAAAGGAAAACGGAUGUCCAAUUAGUUGUGUGCCAGCUUCCGGCUCCAGCUCUUCCUGUGCACAUCCAGCUCAUCUUCGCCCGGUCUGAGCCUGUCAAUUGCAGCAGCUUCCAUUCGGAGUCGAGCCAAGUCGAUUGCCAGUUGGAGGCCAGGCGACGCACAGCCUCGCCCCGCACCGCCCCGCCCGUCAUUGUUGCCGGUUGGACGCCAAUGGCAUAAUUUUCAUAUUUGCUUGCCAGUCAAUUGCCAACAAUUUGCAUAGUUUGAUGUAUGCAUGUAUGUAUGUAAAUAUGGCUUAUCCCGGUCCCUAAUCAAUGCCUAUUUAUGUUCGAAAUCCGUUUGGCUUUGCCAGUGACGCGCUUAUCACGCUGCAUGCUCGUCGGGCUAAAAAUUGAAUAAAGGAUUUAGGGCCUUAAAUUGGAGGUACAGCCGCCGACUUGCCACGUCAAAUGCCAGUGUCUCAGAGUGUGCGUGUUGUGACUCCACCAAGGAUCUCCGCGCGUGUGUGUGUGUGUGACAGGAAGCCAAACAAAAGCAACAUGUGUAACUUGUAUGGCCUGGCAGCGUCAAAAGGCGAGAGGCUGGAAAAAUCUAUUAGAACGUGUCUUGCCUGCCAACCCGAUACUUCGUUACCCAUUCGCCCAGCCUCUGCUCCAUUUUCCCGCUUAUAUUUCACCCGAGGGCAUAAUAAGCUUGCCUCUGCCUGCCACUUUUUCGAAGAGGAAAACCUCUCCGCCUCUCUGUCCCUCUGCUUUUCUUUUUCCCUUUCUUUUUUUUAUUUAUUUCCACGUGCGUCUGUGUGCCUGAGAUAUUUACUUAUGAUUGAGUUGCGUGGCGGCAGAAGAGGAAACAUCGAGGGCACGCCACCCUCGAAACAAUUUGGUAAGAGAUUGCGGUUGCUUUACUGAUUUUCUCACCCAUUUUGUGUGCGCUUUCGCCCCAUUUUACCCGACCGUUCGUUUCCUCCCUCUUCCUGCUGCCGGCCUGCCGGCCCGCCUGCCAGCCAGAGUGUGUGUGAGAGAUGAAAAUUUAAAUUGAUUUUGCAUUGUUUGACUGUCAUUGUUGUUGCCCUCAUCGCCGGGCUGUUGGCUGUUGUUUUUCUGUUUUUUGUUGUUUUUGUAUAUGGUGGUUCUCGAUAAAAGCGAAGCAGCUCUGGUUCUACAUGGGUGGAAAAUUAUUAUAAAUUUCAAUUUGUGCAUCAUAAACGUAACACCGAAUUGGUUUCGGGAUUCCCUCACCCGAUUCUCUUUGUUGGCUAGCUGGACAGUACUGUUGCCUUUUGGGAUGAUCUUUCAUACCAAGAGGUAUCACCAUACGAUUACAGGUAAAAUACGCAGCCUAAAUAACAGAAUGGAGAUUAAGUGGGCUGACUAUUGUUGUCAUGCCGGAUUUUAUUGGAAAUAUUCAGUCUUGGCUCGGACUUGCUCUCUGUUCGUAUUUUCCGGGUUGAGAGGCUUGACUGCACUGGGAUUUUUAGGUGUUGUAGGUAGGUCUGCAUACACUCCUCCUGCAGCCAUGGAUAGCGGAUCUAUAAAUUCAAGGCCUUGGACACGUCAAUUAUCCAAACGGCUUAUGCUUUUCUGAUAUUCUCGGAGCCUUACGGAGAUCCAAGGUCUUGCCAGACGUUUCCCCAGAGCUUUGAUCUGCCUCGAAUUGUACUCCCCUCUUCUUCUAUAUGGCUUGACUCACCCCAGCAUUGUGAUGCGCUUUGUUUAUGUGCGACCCAAGAAUCAUUUGUUUUUAUAUGAAAUUGUUUUACGCUGUGGCAGCGAUCAACCCGGCGUCUGCCCCGCUCUCUGAUUACAACUACAAAACUGAUUCUUUGGUUUCCUUUUUGCCGGGCUGUUUGCUCUCUGCUUUCUUUGGCUGUUCAUACAAAUGUUUAUCGACUUGUGCGUUGAUUUUCCGCUUGCUUUGGUUUUACAGCAGCCCCAGCCCCAGUUCCGGUCCCAUUUUCAUCCUUCGAGGAUUUUUCGGCAUAUCCAUGUCAGAACGGAGCCGUAGCACGUGCACGGUAGGGUUAAGCGUUGCUGCUACCCAUUCCCAUUCCCAUUCCAUCCCUGACAUGUCUGGAGAGUGUGUGGUACAGAGUGGGGUCUGCAUUUGGGGCUAUGGAUUGGUAAUUGAAUUUAUUGUUUGACAUUCAAAGUACCGUUGAGUCAAUUACGCUGGAAAAUUGGUAUCAAAAUAUUUACGAGCUGUUUAUUGCAUUACGCAAAUUUGAUGCCCCCUCCAGGCAAACCAAUUCAAUCCCCAGCCCGAACUAAAAAUGAGAAAAGGUAACGCAAUUUACAUGCUGAUGCCAGGGCUCCCCCGAGUGGUUGCAAGGCUACAUACAUAUAUAUUCUCAAGAAAAAUUACAUAAAGGUUAAACGAAAAAGGAAACUUGUCGAGGUGUAAGCUGCCCGUGUGCGUCAAUUAAUUGAACAGAUGGAUUUCCCUGCAUGCGCUGCAAUAGAUCAAGAAUGAACUGCUUGAAUUCCGAAACAAAUGCCAUCCAAUACUUACACUUAAUGGGCUUACGGGCCACCUUCUCGUUGAGUGUCAGCAGGUCGGACUUGACGGUGUCAUUACUGAGCACAUUAUCCAUGCAAAAGAAUCCAUUGCGCAGCUGCAUCGGCAAGUGUUCCUGGAUCAUCUCGAGGGACUUGGGAUUGUCCGCCAGACGCGUGUAGAUGUGCAAGACAUGUUGCAGGAUACGAGGAUCCGGCUCCAGCGUCUGUUGAUGGAUGACGCGGCCCAGAGUGUUGAUAAGAUGGGUUCGACGGGACAGACGACGGGUGACAAACUUCAGGCCCACCGCAUUGUCCAGGAUGCGGUAGAGAAUAAACGAAGAGAGUGUUUUGCUCAUGCUCGAGCCGUGCUCCAGCUGGCGCAGGAGUUGAGGAAUCAUCUCGGCGGCUAUUGUGUAGCAGAUGAUCUCCGUUGUGUUCUUUUUCAGCAGGCCACAGAUGAUGAUCAGGACCGAGAGUCGCACUUUCUCGAUGGGAAGCGUUUUCUGGGUCAGCUUCAGCAGUGGCAUCAGAUAGUAGAACACGUGGGUGCGCAUCAGCAGCACUCCAGUAUCCGGAUGCUUGGCCAUGGACAAGAAGAGGCUGAGGGCCGCGAAAACGCGCUGCGACUGCUGUUCAUCCAAACUGUUGGCCGACACCGCCGGAUAGACGUCAGUCACCUCCUGCAAUAGCCCGGCCACAGUGCCAAACGACUGCCACAGCAUGGGACCGAGAUUUACGAUUAUUUGGCGACGCUCGCAAAGCUCUAGCAUGGCCAAAGGACGGUUCUCCUUGUUGCACAGGUCCAAAAUCCAUCCACAGAUGUACUCGGCCUCGGCCAAUUCCCCGAUAUCAACUUCUGAAUCGCUCAUCUUGUUUGCUUUAAUUGUUUAAUUUUCCUUUUAAUUUUCCCUGCGGCUGUCACCUGUCUCUUCGGUGGCAGAAUGGUAAUUGUUUUCUGUCAAUAUGAAAGUCGGCCUUCUGUCUGUUUUCUCUGCGGUGCAGUGCAAUUUUUGUUGACCACUUUGUUUGGGUUAUAAGCCGAGAAAUCUUGCACCUUUCAAGCAGAUGUUGCGUUUAGCCCAGACAGAAAUUGGAGACUGGCCUCAUACUAAAACAAUGAGAGUAAACAGAUUCUAUAGCCACAUCAAAUUGCAUUGCUUUAUAAGCCAGACUAUUUUUGUUUUCACUAAUUGAGAGAUGUCACUACUAGUGUUGGAAAAGUUAUGAAUGUAAUUUAGUUUCAAACACCAGAGGGUGACAAUGUUAUAAAAAGAAUAUUAAUUAAUGCACUAAAGUCCUCGAAAUUGCGGAAUUAAAUAAAGCCGUAUGACACUAGACUUUAGAGAGAGAUACUAUGAGAGACAGAAAUUGAAUCUUAAAAGUGUGGCUAUCGAAUAUUUCUGCCGCAGCUGGCGCAUAUAACUUUCUUGCUCUCACUGCAAGCUUUUCCCAUAAGGCUGUCCAAAGUCCAAUUUCAUCAGGCUAUAAGUAAUUUAUAUCGUUAUGGUAUGCCUGGAGUAUUUGAGUUUUCUUUGAACAAACUCACAUUGAAAAAUGCAUUCGCAUUUCAAUCUUAAUAAAGCCGUCAGUCAAAUACUGCAUUAUUUACCAAACCAAAGUCUGUGCACACUAGCCAGGCGACAUUAACGGUACAAAUAUAUGCAUAUGCAUAUAUCUCGUUGGACGACCAGACAGGCCAUUGGAUAAAUGAGCUGAUGAGUUGCAGUUAAUUAGAGCGAAUUCAUCACUCACUUGCAACACCCACUCCCCACUCUCCACUCCCCAAUCCCCGCCCCUCACACGACCGUCUGUACCACCCAAAUGAAUUAUGCAUAACAAUGUGGGCAACAAGAACAACAUGGGGCUAAAGCUAAACCAUGCAAUUAAAUGCAAACAAUUUUCCAUAAAUUAUGUGCGGCAGCAACAGCAGCAGCAGCGUCACCCCGAAUAUGUACGAAUAUAUGUAUGUACAUAUGUAUAUGUAUAUGUAGAUCCAUGAAGCGACUAAUGCAAAACGGAAGCGGAAAUCUGUUUCGGUCUUCUGCAUGCGUGGACGUACCCCCCUACUUGCCCGAUUGUGUAUGAGUUUGUGCCGUGCCGGCGUGUUAAUUGGCAACAACUCUAUUAUUAGAAGAAAAAUAUGCUGACCCGUCAAUGGCAGCAAUUUGCCUUGCUAAUUUUCAUGGCGGUCAAAAAAACCGUGGAAAUCCAGGCAAAUAUAGAGGAGAACACAGGAAAAUAUUCAAACACUGGUAUCGGGGGAGGGGGUGGGGCAGCUGUGACAAUUCCCAAAAAUAUAUUUGCAUAUACCAGAUCGAUGUAUAUUAAUGCAAUUAAGUGAUGCAUCCAAAAUUUUCAAAUAAACAAAUGCGCAAAAAGCAGUUUUCUCCUCGCAACUCCCCUCCGUCCCCGAGGUUUCAUUUUCCUCUCGGUCGAAAAGUAUUAACUGCAUUUUCUGGAUAAUUAGGCAGGUCAGUCGCAAUCGGAAUUUCCGGUUGCGUUGUUGCCCUUAUUCAAAGUUUCGAAUCGCAUUGGCAAAUUACAAAUUUCACGCUACGCCAGGCAAAACGCCAAAUAGUUGUGCCUUUUAAUGAAUCGACUAAAAUGGUACCCAUUCUCUGAAAUACUGAAUUAUUAUUAAUCCUCCUCUCAGUGAAUGAAUGCCAUGGAAAGCAGCAAAGUAAAAGUACUAGUAAAUGAUAAUUGAUGCUCCCACAGGUCACAUUGAGUGCAGGGCACAUCGUUAUUAGCUGCUGUCCAACCCAGGCCACUCAACCAAAAUGCCAAAAUUGCAUUUGGAGACUACACACACCACACCCACGCCACGCCACGUCACGUCACGCCAGAAGGCACCACGCACUGCUAUUGAAAUACGCACCUCACCACAUCAGAGGGCCUGUCAUACCUGGGGCCUAUGGUAUUUUGUCUAAUUUAAAUUAAUAUUAUGCCAAGCAUCAGCAGUGGCGGCAGUGCAUGCCAGAGGCAUUUCGGCCUUUAUAUCCUUUGGCCCUUUUUGGGGCCGCCAGACAGGACAGCAGAGCCAACAGCCAACAGCCAACCCAUUGGCCAUUGUUCGUCGGCCACGGCAAAUUGAAAUUGAAACUGCAACCGGAUGUAAUUGGGCUUGCAUACGUUCGUUUCGAUUUGGUUUGGGCUCCGUUCCGCUUAGGUUUCUGCUCUACUCUUUCCUGUUCUGCCAGUCUGUUUGUCUGUCUGUCCGUUGAUAAUAUCAUUGAUAGCUUUUGCCACAAUUCGUAACCGCAAUAAGUUGUUGUUGGUCACAGUUGGAGCGGCAAAAAAGGACCGACCGUCCAUUACCUAUGAGACUACGAGCAUGUAUAGACGACUGUCCACUCCCACAUGGCCAUGAGGUUGUUCUGUUCUGUUCUGUUCUGUUCUGUCCACUCGCUCAUGGCUCUGAGUGUUGUGUGUUUCUGUGCUGAAUGGCAACUGGAAAUUGGAAAUUUUAAGCUACCUUUAUCUGUUGAAUGGCUUGUUGAUUAUUACCGAAGCUGGCGAAUGGAUUUGCAGUUGCUUCAUUUGUGGAAAUUAAUGAACCAACACACCUAAGCUGCCUUCCAUUGUCUACUGCAUUCUCUGUGUGCAUCAAAUACGUUUUGGAAUCUGCCAUUGUCUGUGUAUGACUGAGUGGGUGGAACCCACAAGAAAGAUAUUUGGUAACGAACAUUGCACCAACUGUAGCAAUGCAUAAUAAAAACAGACCAGAGAUGGGGAUUGCUUUACCCUUUUUUUUAAUAUACCUACUCUGAACUGCAAGCGAAGAGACAGAGAGAGAGAGUGAGAUUUUAUUGCAUUAUACUAUUAAAUAUACAUUUGAAAACAAUUUAAAACAUGUAUAGUAGUACAUAGUAGUAUAUUUUCAGUGCACAUCUGCAUUAGAAGUGCACAAUGGUCCUCUGAGCACUUGCUCCCUGGGAUAAACUUUGUUUGAUUAACUUUUUGCCACCGAAUAAGCAACAGGGAAAACCCCAAAAAGGAACACGCCACACAGACACAGCAAACAGCACCACAGAAGCACACAGAAACAGAAGCAGAAACACGCAGAACAAGAAGCCCCAACAAGGCAGGCCCCAGUGCCAGCGAGUUGGAAAACUAAAAAGUGUCGCAGCAAUUGUUUUGUGACUUGUAACUGUUUGCAAUUGUUAAACUUUGGUCAAUAAUAUCACCUGCGCCUGUCCACAACCCACAACAACACUAAACUGCAUUUAGCAUCAGAAACAAUGCGGCGUCUGUUGCGGGGGAAGAAAGAGGUUGCAGGAGCUGCCGGGCGCCGGGCGCCAUGCGCCAUGCGCCAAGUGGCAAGUAGCAAGUAGCAAGGGUAAUGCAACAAGUACAAAGCUGCACGUAUUUACCAUCUACUAAGUAUUUUCUAUGACUUUGUGCCAUUGUUUUUAUUUUUUAUUUUUUUCCAGUAGCUUGCGUUUUUUUCCACACCCUUCCACAGGGUGUUAGGAUUUUCGGCAGGCAGCUAUGUGGAUGCUACAGUGCACAUUCGGAACACCGCCUAGAACACUAUAAGGACUAUAACGAUCUGUCGGCUGGUCAACUGACUUUGAUAUGAUGGAUAUCUGCCAGUGUAUCAACAGCUUCGGCUUUUCUUUUUGAUUUGUAUUCUUUUAGAGGUUUACUCGAGCAUUAAAUAAGUCAAAACACUCACACAAAU